AAAUAAACACUUGAAAAAACAAUUAAUUAAUGAAAAACCCUAACUAAGCAUCUCCAACAAAGCAAAGCAACAAUAAAAUUAACCCUUUCUCUCUUCCUCUUCAUCAUCAUCGCUCACACUAUCCAUCAAAUUUGAUUUUCUUUCUUCCCUAAAACUUCCAACAAUCGAGCAAAAAGGAUUCACAUCUUCAAUCUCAAUUCUCAAAUAAGCAAAAUCAAAGUGUCAACCUCAAAUCCUCAAUCUUGAGAUUGAAAAUCUAAGGUAAAGUGAGUAUUUCAAUUUUUCGAUAUUCUAUUCUCUUUUUUUCAGCUGAACCCUAAAACCCCAAUUUGUUAAAACUUCUAUUUUCUCAAUUCCUUUAUAAUCAAUUGGUGUGAAGAACAAUAGUAUUUAGUUGUGAUUUUCAUCUGUUAUGUUCCGUAGGUUAUUGUAUGUCUUGGAUUUGUUCAUCUAACUUUGAUAGUGUGUUUUUGGUGUUGGUGAUAUGGUUAUUUGUUUGGGUAGUGUCCUGCUCCUGCUAUAUUAUGCAAGUGUUAAUAUGAGUUCCACUCUUUGAAGCACGGUGUCGGACACCGACACUUAUAGUUACAUUGAAUUGUGUUAUUUUUUCAAAUUAUUAUCGGUGUCGACGUGUCAGUGUCCGUGCUUCAUAAGUUCCACUAGACCUCACUGAAUUAUAAUUUCAAAGUUAGAAGAAUUGCAUUAUGAUAUGGUCACGGGUUUGGAUGUGAAAUUGGCUUAGACUCACAGUGCAUUGUUUCGUCCUUCAACUUCAAUUGGCACUUGUUGCUUGUGCUAAGACUCACAAAAAUGUUAGUGGUUUUUUAAGUAAGGUCAAUAUGCAUGUUAAUUUCAUACGAUCUUCUAAUAAGAGACAAGAAUUGCUUUGAGACAAACAAUUAACUUAGUUCGCUAAAUUUCUUUCAUGUUUAGCCACACUAGUAGUAUUAAAUGUCUGGAUCCGCCCCUGCUGAUUUCAUAAGCUAUAUUGGAAAACUGAAAGAAAAAAGAAAAAACUUAUUUUUCAUUAGUCAUGCCAAACAGUCUCACAAAACUUAUGUCAGUAGAUAAGAUCAAAUAAGUCAAUC
RNAcentral lists this long non-coding RNA (1088 nucleotides) under Trifolium pratense (red clover). RNAcentral's name for it is "long non-coding RNA (TPRA_LNC000876)". Lineage: Eukaryota; Viridiplantae; Streptophyta; Magnoliopsida; Fabales; Fabaceae. The record is from RNAcentral.